RNAcentral lists this signal recognition particle RNA (299 nucleotides) under Oncorhynchus mykiss (rainbow trout). RNAcentral's name for it is "Metazoan signal recognition particle RNA (ENSOMYG00000076854.1)". It matches the Rfam family "Metazoan signal recognition particle RNA". From Rfam's summary of the family: The signal recognition particle (SRP) is a universally conserved ribonucleoprotein. It is involved in the co-translational targeting of proteins to membranes. The eukaryotic SRP consists of a 300-nucleotide 7S RNA and six proteins: SRPs 72, 68, 54, 19, 14, and 9. The record is from RNAcentral. Lineage: Eukaryota; Metazoa; Chordata; Actinopteri; Salmoniformes; Salmonidae.
GCCGGGUGCGGUGGCAUGUGCCUGUAAUCCAAGUCACUGGGAGGCUGAGGUUGGUGGAUCAAGUGAGCUGAGGAGCUCUGGGCUGCAGCACUCUAUGUCGAACGGGUGUCCACGCUAAGUUCGGUAUCGAUAUGGUGUUCCUGGGGGAGCCCGGGACCACCAGGUUGUCUAAGGAGGGGUGAACCGGCCCAGGUCGGAAACGAAGCAGGUCAAAUCCCCCGUGCUGUCCAGUAGUGGGAUAAUACCUGUGAGUAGAUGCUGCAGUGCAGCCUUGGCAAAACAUUGAGACCUAAUCUUUU